UAAUACGUAGGGGGCGAGCGUUGUCCGGAAUUACUGGGCGUAAAGGGCGCGUAGGCGGCCUUUUAAGUCAGGCGUGAAACCCCCGGGCUUAACCUGGGGCAUGCGCAUGAGACUGGAAGGCUUGAGUGCAGGAGAGGAAAGCGGAAUUCCUAGUGUAGCGGUGAAAUGCGUAGAUAUUAGGAGGAACACCAGUGGCGAAGGCGGCUUUCUGGACUGUAACUGACGCUGAGGCGCGAAAGCGUGGGGAGCAAACAGG
This 256-nucleotide ribosomal RNA is filed under the name uncultured bacterium. Its description in RNAcentral is "partial 16S ribosomal RNA". It matches the Rfam family "Bacterial small subunit ribosomal RNA", at positions 521 to 776 of the family's 1533-position model. The record is from RNAcentral.